Molecule: long non-coding RNA, 560 nt
Organism: Clarias gariepinus (North African catfish)
Lineage: Eukaryota; Metazoa; Chordata; Actinopteri; Siluriformes; Clariidae
Exons: 3
Source: RefSeq, a predicted model, not a curated record
AGGUUUGGAACAGACUUGGCAAAGAACAUGGAAACAUCCCUGAAUGAAAUGGCCCCAAACAUCAUCAGGAGUGCAAAAGAAGGAAGUAAAAAAAAAACUCUACGCCAAUCUCAUUGGACCCGCAGAGGAAAUCACAGAAGGUCUCGUUAGGAAUGCUGCACUCAUUUUAUUGCCAGCACUUUUUAAAGAAAACGCCAGCUUCCUCUACUGUGUAGAUAGUGAACCCAAAGGUCCUACACCAACCAUUGUGUUUAACGGCUCUCCUGAUCCCUUCAAGGCUGAAAGCGUCAGCAUUAUAAUGGACAAUGUGAACAUCAUAAGAGAGGCAGACAUCGACAUGACACAGGCUGUGGAAUGCCUGUUUGCAAUCUAUUUUCUUUUCAAUGUGCAAUACCCGGUUGACAUCAAGCACACAAUGACUUUUAUUCAAAAAUAUAUGCUUAAACUAAGACAAGAGCAUGACACAAGAACACCAAUACCUGUACUGAAAAUGUACAGUCAACUUGUGUGAAUUGUAGUGCCAUUUAAUAGAUGUUUUAAUUGUUCAUAUGUUGAUUUUA